Gallus gallus (chicken) is the source of this 1160-nucleotide long non-coding RNA. The record is from Ensembl. Lineage: Eukaryota; Metazoa; Chordata; Aves; Galliformes; Phasianidae.
GUAAAGGGUAGAAAAUUAGAGUGGUGUUAAAUUGCAGAAUGCCAGAUGUGGAGUGACCUGCAUUAGCACUAUGUGAAUAUUUACAAUUCAGAUUAACACACUUAACACUGAGCAGAAAAGCAUAUGCUGUGGGCACAAACUGAAAGUGUGGACAGAUAUGUUUAGGAUAUACUCACUCAAGCCUCUGGCAAAAUACUUCUGUUUCCUUUGCACAGACAAAACAAGACCAAGAAACUGCAAUGGAAAAAAAGCUAAUUGUACCAUCAGUUCAAAGGAACAGUGUUUUGGAAGUACUGUUCAUCAAAAUAGAAGGGACAGCUGUCCAAAGCAAAGAUAGUUUUGCAUGAUGGUCAUUCACUGAUGUUGGUGUUCACAGGGCUAUCCCUCUAAACCACACACUUUGUGUUUGGCUUCACUUCCAUAAAUCUCAAAAGCACCAUUUCACUAGUACAUUUACAGUAAAGAUUUGAAUCUGGUUGGAAUUCUGUGCAAUUUGGGGGGCUUUUUUUGUUCUUUUUUUUUUUUGUUCUUUUUCCUUUUUCUAGGUAGGUAUAGAAUGGUUCCGAGGGUUACUUGGGCAAAAAUCUCUUUAGUCUUAUAGAACUAAACAUUUAAUGAAUAAAACACGUAACGAAAAAGAAAGAUAAUUUAGUAUAGGAAAAAUAUCACAUACCAUUUUUCUCUUGUGGUAAACAAAGCAUGAAAGGAAAAGAUUAAAAGACUGAAGUGGUUCUAUAAUAACCAGAGAAAGGAUUAUGAGUGUAUGUGGUUAUAAGUUGUCUUCUCUCUUCAACCCUGGUUGCUUCAGUUUUCCAUGGCAAUAGGAGGGUGGAAAUAUUGUUGACAUGGGCACUUAAUAGUUCUGAAAAUCUACAUGCUAGAGAUUCUCAAGGAAAAUGAACAUUAGGUGUUUAAGUUCUUUAUAUUCCUUGAGAAAUAAACUCCAUCUACAGAAAAGCAAAGUCCUUCAUUUUUAGUGUGGUUGUGAUACAGGCCUUGCUGAAAUUGCUGAGAUUAAUUCCACAGUCUGACCCGAUCUGUUCUGAUAUAACGCUUGUUUAACUUUACUUUCAAAUGAGUAGUUCCUCAGUAACAGCUAUUCAAAGCACAAUGAACACAGUCUUCUCAUAGUUCUCCAGAACUUCUGUUUUAUUAUACGG